Homo sapiens (human) is the source of this 10810-nucleotide long non-coding RNA. RefSeq lists it as uncharacterized. The transcript has 2 exons. NCBI's taxonomy places the organism in Eukaryota, Metazoa, Chordata, Mammalia, Primates, Hominidae. The record is from RefSeq and is a predicted model, not a curated record.
CAUGGCUUUCCUAGGGAAUCCUUGCAAGUCCCACGCGUGAGCAGCAGGCCUGGGGAGAGGGCAGGACUGCCCCAGCCUGACCUUGCUGCAGGCCUGGCUGCCCAGCGUCCACCCCCUGCUGCUGUGGUGGAGACAGCCCCCAGACACCGGCAGGGCAGGUGGCAAUUAUCCCCGGGCACUGAUUACACCACAAGGCCGGCAGUGCCCUAAAUAGCCCAGGAGCUCAGCCUGGGGGAGGAGAAGGGUCCCGCUGGGAAGGAAGAGGCAGAACCAAGGGAUGCAUAGUGUGGAUGUGUCAGGAAGGACAACGGGGGGCUGGGGGAGGAUUUCAUGCCAAGGCCAGCACCUUUGGGGCAAGCCAGGACCCUCAAAGAAAGGGAUGAGGUUCCGCUGCAGCAGGCUGGCCUAGAGAAAUUAGAUGGGGCACAUGCCAAAUCUGGUCACAGUGAAAAGGUGGUAACCAGCAUGAGGGGCAUGUGGAGAAGGCCUCACUGAUGGAUAGGAGGAGACAGUGGUGCCACUGAGGCCAGGCCGGCUGCAACCCUCCAGCCCUGGCCUGCUGUACCUCUGGACUGAUCAGGAAGGAAUCCCCAAAGAAGGCACACAGCAGGACGGAAGAGAGGCCAAACAAGGGCAGGAAGGCUCCCGGGGGCACCAAUUCCCUCUGCCAGGAAGGUCAGACCAAGCAACUUUGGUCCGUGGUCCCCUUUUCCAGCCUCAGCCAUCCUUUGCUUUUCAUGGAACUGCAACUGGCCAGGCCCCAGGGAUGGCAGCACCAGCAGAGGGGCCCUCCCCUGGGGUCUUCUUCAACCAGAAACAAGUCAGGCAGCGGUGGGCUUCAGAGGUUGAAGGCCUGUGGCGGGGGGCCUCAUGAAAGAACUAUCCUCAGGGCAGGGAGGCCUGGGUUGCUGCCCCCUUCAUUUCUUUCUUUCUUUCUUUUGUUUUUCUUUUUAUCCUUUUGAGACAGAGUCUUGCUCUUUGCCCAGGCUAGAGUGCAGUGGCGUGAUCGUAGCUUACUGCAGCUUCGACCUCCUGGCCUCAAGCGAUCCUCCCCGCUCGGACUCCCAAAGUGCUGGGAUUACAGGGAAGCUCAGUUUCUCAAGCAAGUGCUGGGAUUACAGGGAAGCUCAGUUUCUCAAGCAAGCUGUGCCCUGUAGGCCCUUGGGUGGCAUAAGAGGCAGGCUUCUUUGGGAGUCUCUCUGACUGCCCCCAACCCUGAAGCUGGAUCCUUUUGAGGUUGCUUCUCAGCGAGCAGCAUGAAGGCCCGGAACAGCCGCGUGGGAGGAGGCAUUGGAUACAAACAAGGGAGAAGAGAGGCACCCCCUCUCACCAUGCACCCCAUUUUUCUUCUUGUAUAAGCACCAGUUCUUCUGUAUUGGCCCCCUUCCCACGUGGAGAGCCUAUAUCUAUUGCAUCUUCCCCACCUGUCAGCCAAGGGAGGGGGCUGAGCUGCUGCCCCCCCAUUCCAGAAAAGCUACAGAAAGAAAGCCAGGCCUGAGGUUGUUCCCGAUAUUUACCAAUGUGGGCACAAGGCAGGCUCAAACCUGGUUUCCCAGGGGUCUCUAAUUGAAGAGGUCAUGGUGACCCCAUGGUGCCCAGUGCCUGCACUCCUUCUUGCCAUCCCAGAGGACCCAGCGCCCAUCUGGCAGCGCCCGCUCCAAAGCCACCUAUGAGUUCCCUGGACCCAGGUCAGGAAAGGAGGCUGUCAGUGGCUCCAAACCACCUCUUGCAGCAACUCUGCUAAUCCAAAUAAGAUAGGGAAAAGGCAGUGGGAGGAAAUGAUAGUUUCAUGGUUAUUUUCAGAAAGGAAACAAAAAAAAAAAUGCAAACAGGAGCACACCCUGCAUUUUGGUACAAAAUCUAGGAGUCUCAAGGAAAAGAACCCACAGUUCUUCCUUCUUCUUGUCCUCUCACCAGAUGCUGGGGAGGGGCUGCCCGGGCUGUGGGGGCCUUGGGCUGCUUUUGCCUGUAGGGAAAGGGAGAUGAGGGGCUGCAGGAAGCCAGCAAAGACUCUUCCUGCAAAGGCAGGCCUGGAGAAGCUGAGACAUCUUAGUCUUGUGGGCAGACAGGGCCCACCCUUUGCGGGUGGAGGAGUUGGAGAGAUGGAGUGGAGGGAGCAAGUGGGGAACUGGGAGAUUCUUGAGCUGAUGCUUGUAAAGCGCAGUGGCAUGUGUAGGAUUGGUGGGCUGGGAGGGUGUGUUCUGGGAGCACAGCUCAGAGAGAGAAAUAGAGAAGGGGGAGGGAGAGCAAGAGAGCGUGUGCUCGUGGGAGAAUUGAGUAGGGCUGCUGCCUGCAUGUGUGUGCAGGGCGUGCACAAAGAUGGGAGCCGCAGAGCCCGGGCUGUACACAAAGGAUCGUCCAGGGCCCUGCCAGCUCCAGAAUGUUGUGCGAACCAAGGACAGAGCCUGGCUUCUUGUCCCCAGAGGGAAUCUGGACCUUGCUGUCUAACCUCUGGGUUUCCCUGGACAGUGUGGGGUGCAGCAGGGAAGGAAGCGGUGGCCUGAACUUCUGGGGGCUUUGUCUGCAGUUCCUGUUUGGUGGCUGUCACAGUUGCCAAGACCCCAAGGGUGGGAGGAUGUGGAUGGGAGAGAGGUAGGAGCCAAGGACAGAGCCGGUGGCACAGAGACUAGAAAUCUUAAGUGCCUGCAGAUGAGGUGUUCUAAGAGUAAGGGAGAGAGAGGGAGCUGACAUGAACAACCUAGGGGAGCUGGAGGAGGACCAUGGGAUAGUAGCAGCUCCAUGUCCUCCCCUAGGGCGGGAGAGGUAUCAUUAUCCCCCAUUUCGCAGAUGUGUCAUCUGAGGGCCAGAGAGCUUCAUUGCUGUGUCCAAGUUUCCAUGACUGGUCACAGAAGGAGCUGGUGUGGGGAGAUGGACAGUGAGCAAACUCAGGUGGGUGAUUGGGUGGUCUAGUUGGUGACAAGGGUGUUCCGGGAAAGACAAAGUUAGGCUCAAUACCAGGAAAAUCCUGGUCCCAGGAGGCUGCCUCCAUGGAAGGGUUGGAGGCUUCCCUCCCAGCCUGCCAAACCAGCCCAAUUCCUGAGACCUGGGAGGGUUGGGAGGAGAUGGAGGUAAUGACUCAACUCAUCCAACACAGGCUUGACCUAGGGGAGGUUGGGUAACCCAGCAGACGCUCCAGUGGGGUGAGGAUUGGAAUAAAUGGGUGAUGCUGGAGAUAAGGGCGAAAGGGUGUGCUGGAAGGGAGGGGCUGCUGGUUCCGGGCAGAGUUUGGGAGGAGGAUGGGGUGGGGCACACUUGGGCUUUGUGGAUGAAAAGAGGGAUGAGCUUCUAGGAGCACUGGGUCCUUUCCUGAGAUGAUGGAGGGACCUGUGGUGGUGAUCUGGGAGGAAAACCCAGCAGGUAGGGCAGUGGUUCAGAUGGUAGAUUUAAGGCUGAAAUCCCAAAACGGGGGACUCCCAGCAGUAGGAAUUCUCAGGAGGGCCCCAAAGACAGAGAUUCUGAGCCUUCUGGGGCCCCUGCUGCUCCCUCACUAGGGCAGGAGCUACAUUCAGGAGCCUGCCACCCCCCAGGGCUUUCCAGUCCAUGGAGAAGAAGUGAUCCGAGUACCGCAAACCACUGCGAAGCAUUUCUGGCAUUGGGUUGAAUGGGACCCCAAACCAGAGGAUUGGAUUGUAUAUCAGUUUCUAUAUAUUUUUCAGGCAAAUAUGGGAGAAAAUGGGUUUAAAAACACAAUCCGAGAUGCAAAUGCAGUCACAGAACAUGCCCCAUUGGCUCAGGCCAGAAGAAACUGGAGUCAGGAAAAGAGGCCGGCAGACUCAGAGUCCCAGGAAGCCAAUGGCGCCUUGGAGGCUCUUGGGAGGAUGGAGCGAGAGAGCUGGUGCUUUGAGGCAACGGGAAGCAGGAUCUUUGCAUUUGAGUCUCAUGCCAGCAUUGCUGAGCCCUGGCUCAGUCCCCAGCUGUGAGAUGGGGGUGGGUCUUGCACAGAGUGACAGUCUUGGGACUUCUGCACUUUAGGGCUGAAGAUAUCGUAUGGAUUCUCUAGUGGGACCACUUGAUUUUCUAACAGGGACUUCAAGACCCAGAGAAGGGCUGUGACUUUGCAGAUGUUAUAGAGCUUUGUCCUCAUGUUAAAGCCAGGACUAGAAGCCAGGUCUCCUGACUCCUGAUGCAGUGCAGUACAGAGGGUGUACAUCUGUUCAAUGAUCUACAUCCUCAUUGGAUGGAGAUUUCCAUGUCUUAAGACCCAGAAAAUGCAGUUUCUAACAGUGAAGCUGGGAUUAUUCCUGAGCUUGUCACCUCGGAGCCAUCUGAAUCCUGUGUGAUCUUCUCACCUGAUCUAAUAAGAAUAGUGACUGAGUUCAGACCGGGCUUCCAGCUCCACCUAGAAACGUCUCCCCAUAAUAUAUUCACCUGUCGAAGGAGAAGAGUAUCGCCCACCUCCUCCUCCAACAGUCUUCUUUUGGCUUUUUGGAAAGGACAGCUCUUUUUCAUAAUUUACAUUCGAGUGGAUCCUCUCAACAACUCUGUGGAGAAGGGUAUUAUCCCCACUGUACAGAUGGGAAAAUAGAGGCUCAGCCAAGUUAAGAAAUUCACUUAGGGUCUAAUGCACAGGGAGAGGCAGUGCUGGAACUGGAGCCACAGCCUUGGUCUUUUGUCUGAGCUCUUCAACCAACAGCAAAGGAGAAUCAGGUGGAUGGGCUGAGAGAGGGGAAGGUGGAGGUUGGCCAUGCUUGAAACUGUGGAACCUGACUCUAAGCACCUCAGGAAGAAGAGCACGUCUGGUGGGUUUCCUCCCAGCUCACCACCUCAGGUCCUGUGCUGAGGAGCUGGCGUCUACAGAGCCAUGGUAGGUGGAGGUCACCUGGAGGGAUGUUGUUCCUGUACCAAAAGAAUCCAAAGAUGGAGGCUCCCCGUAUCCCUCCCCAAACCCCAGAAAACUCUGCUCUGUAGCAAGGAGAAGCAACCAGAAUGUAACACAGGGACAUGUCAUCUGGGUUGGACAACUUCCACUAAGCCAGCUGGGCAUACUCCAGAGAUGCCAAGCUGCUCUGUUGUUUCCUGGGGCCUGUGGGCCACUGGGAUUUUCUCUUUCUCCUCCAGGAAAAGGACAAAGAGUGAACAGCCCCACAGGCUAACUGGUGAGCACCCUGGGUUAGUUCUACUCUACCUAGAGUCCAACGGGAUAAUACAUGUCCAGCCUUUAGCACAGCACUUGGCGCAUAGAAAGUCCUCAGCAGCUUAGUGGUUUUGUUAUUGAUGUGGGACCUGAAAGAAGACUGAGAUCCUCCGGGAAGCUUCCCUACACCACCCCAUCCUUCCCACUUACCCCCAAACUCUGAUUUAGGUGCCUUCCUAUCAGAGUGAACCAUUAUCAUGACACCAGUCCCAGUGUAUUGAAAUCAUCUGUUUAUGUGUCUGCUUCCCCGACAGAGCGUAAGAUCUUCAAGGACUGUGUGUUGUUCAUCUUUGGACUGUGUGACCACCCCACCCCCAUGCUGAACACUGUACCUGGCUUAGUAGUUUUGCUAAAUUCAUGGAUGAAUGAAUGAAAUGUGAAGAAGCUCCGGAUGAUGCCAAGUUGCAAGGGAAAGCCAAGAACUGAGGGGAACUUUUGGGAGGCAUGAAAUGGAAGACCAAAAAAGGUGGGGAGAGGGAGGAAGAAAUGUUUUUUUCUCAGGCAUGAAACUGCCUAGGCUAGGCCAUAGAAAUGAUGUUACUAGACGGAGAUUUGCCAGAAUCCAGGGAAAUAGAGAGGAUGUGGCAAGCGGUAUUGCGGAUCAAGUGAUUUUUGGGCUCAGGGCCCGGGAUAUGGGUGAGAAUGUGACCAUAUUGGAAGAACCUGACCAUCCACCAGCUUUUUGCCAAGGGAGAGAACAUGGUCAAUCUAGCCACAGACAAAAGAGGGAGCUGGCUUUGCUGGAGCGAUUUCUGAGAGAUGAGGCCAAGGGAGAUUCCCACUCCUAGGCUGGCCAGCAGGAAGAGUCAUUCAUCUCAUUAGGAACUUGGCACGAAGGCAAGUGUCAACAGGAAGAGAGAAGGCUCUUGGUUAUGGUUCUUGAAGGAGGCACUUCUGUCUCUCCUUGGCCAGGCUGGAGUUUAGGAAUCAUUGGUGGUCUUUGACAUCUCAGAUGUGAAAGAAAGACUAAGGAGACUGCAGUCAGGGGAUGACAGAGCCGAGCAGAGGAAUGGGGGCGUUGAGGGCUGAAAGGACAUGGUACCUGCAGCCCAGGGCUGGCCUGGCAGUCCAGUUAGUACAGGUCGGGGCUCUGCUCAGGGGUCGUGGGGCCUUUCCCUCACUAUUAGCCUUCAGCAUUUUUUGCUUCUUUUGGACACAUUCAUUUCCUUUAAAGCGCUCCCGUGACCUGGUCCCAUACUAUCUCUCCGACUUCAUCUCCUAUUGUCACCUCCCUUCCUUUCCAGCCACUCUGCCUCCAUGUUACUCUUCGAACUUCCAAGAAUACCAUGCUCUCCUGAGGACUUUUGCACCCAGACAGUUCUUCCUCAGAUGGCCACGUGGUCCAUCCUGUCACUUCCUGGGCCUGUGCUGAAAGACGCCUCCCUGUGAAGCCGUCCCAGAUCACUCGUAUGUGAUUGUAAUCCCCUUCUCCCAGUGCUAGCCGUUCUCCUUCCUCUGCUGUAUUUUUCUCCAUAACACACAUCACAAUCGGACACAACACAUAUUUGCUUGUUUGUUUUUUACCUGUUUCUGCCCUGGAGAAGGUAAGCUGUGACAAUGCAGGCCUUUUUGUUCACUGCUAUAACCCCGGUGCCUAGAAGAAUGUGUUGCACAUGGCAGGCCCUUGACACACAUUUAAAUAAAUAAACAAAGCAAUUAACCUUUCUGUGGGACCUUCCACUGAUUGUCAGGAUCUGAAUUCUCACCUCUGCCCUUCCUAGAUGUGUGAGUUUGGACAAGUCACGAACCCCUUUAGGCCUCUGUUUCCUUAUCUGAAAAAGAGCAUGUUGGACUAAAUGGCAUCUUAAAGUCCCUUAUGGCUAAAAUUUAGGGAGAAUCCCUGAAGGAAGUGGGACCUUGAGGUAAGGGCCUGAUGUCCAUGAUUCUCUCGCAGAAUUAAAGCCCUGCAUUCCAUUAAAGCCCUGCAUGCCACCUCUGCCCCCAGACCAGGCCUGGGCAGAAGCAGGGCCACCAGCCCUGCAGCUGGAAGCUAAGAGCUAGCCAGAAGGCUGAGGUCAAGGACUGAUGACUAAGAUGAAGGGAAAGAGAUGGACGGGGCAGAACUGGGGCUGCUGCGUUUUAUUUAAAUCCAUGAUAAGGAUCAGGAAGCAGGCAACAGCCCGAUGACACAUUAAUUAACUUUGCAGAUGAUACUGGAUCAGGAAGGUGUCCCAUCCACCCAUCUCAGCGAGAGAGAUGGGACAAAAGGACCUGAGGAGGGGUCAGGAAUUAGGCCAGGAAAUUACAACAAUGAACUUUGGCUGUGGCCAAGAGGGGAAAGGACUCAUGUUCUCUCGAGUGGAUUGGGGGUAGGGUGGAGAGGAUCUAUUUUCAGAACACAGAUAAGCAGUGGAUGGUAGGGGCUGGGAGUGGUGGCAGGGACCGCGAGGUCCCCUGGUUGUUUGAAUUGAUGUACUGAUCCCCAGUGGAGACAGAGCCUGUUUUCUUGCCACUGUGUUUGGAGGAAGGGGACGGGGUAAGGGACAGGGAAGAUAAAUGACAUUGAUGGAGCACCCACCAUGAACCAGGCACCAUACACAGUAUCUCAUUUAAACUCCGCAACAGCAAUGAUAAGACAAGAGGAAAUAAUGGGUCACAUAGACUAAGAAGUUUCUGAGAGUCACACUGCCAGAAAGUGGCAGAGUUGAGAUUCAGAUGUAGGAGGGAGGCGAUGGUCCCAAAGUGGGUUAAGGGCCCCAGGAGAAAAACCAGAGUAGCUGCCAGGUUAUCAAACUGCCUCUUCAUUUUUAGGACUGAAACCUAAGUAAGUAACAAGUACCCAAAAGAAGACUUUCAUUAGCACCCUGGGGUUCCACGGGUACUGGAAGUUUUCUUCUCUCCCUCCUGCUGGGACCAACCUGACCUUCCUAAGCAGUGCAGAGAAAGGAACGGGGAGGAAUGGAAGACUGUCAGGCAUCUGGACAAUGUGGAGGGGUGACGCCAAGGAAAAAAAAGUGUGAGAGCUCUUGCAGCCUGUUGUGGAAAAGAUACCAAAGGGCUCAAAGGCUCAGUUCUGUUCUGGCCACUAACCUCUCUGUCUUUGGUGAGAACAGGGUACUGAUGGAUUCUAGGUGAGUGAAUGGUCACCUCUGGGGUGAGCCAUUUCAGAGAAUACAGGCCCAUAGACAAGGAUAGGUACCCCUGAAGAGGGCUUGGGGUGUGCCCGGACUCAAGGGUGACAGACAUCUCUAUUCCUCUAGGGAGCUGACAGCUGGAGGCAUUCCUGAAACUCUAGCUAGGAACUCAGUGCGUGACCCAAAAGGGAAUCCCAAACAACAAGUCUAUGAUUGAGCAGUCUGUUUCUGGUUGGGUCAUGAUGCCACAACAAACGGCCCAAGUAGAGAAGGCUGCAGGCCCUGGGCAGGCCUGGUGAGAAGGGCUGACCCAAAGGACAGCCAUUGUGCUCCAAGCAGCAUGAGCAGGGCUCAGGGGCACCAUCGGAGCAAGGAUAGGAUCGGAGGGUGUGGAACCCGAGAGUUUCCCAGGAAUGGGGUGAAGGAAGGGUUGAUAGGAGCAGCACGGGGUGCCUGGGGGCCCGGGAAGGCAUUUCUGAGGCCUAGAGGAAGGACCUUCGUCAUCCAGGGACCCUGGGAGCAGAGCAGGGUCUCGGUAAACCAGAGAAGCCACACAUGUCCUGAGAGAAUGCACUGGGGGUCUCCCUGGAGGAGGCAAGACCCGGAAGCGGGUAGGCAGUAGGAAAGAAGCUGUAUGGAAUCACAGUCUGGCUCCCACCCAGCCUAGAAGUUAGAACAUUUUUGUUGACAUUCUUCUUGUUUGCAGCUCUGUAGCCAUGUUCUGUUUGCAUUAGCUCCCUGGUAAAAUUGCUCAGAAAACAUCCUUCUAGGCAUCUGUGUGUUUGCUAGAGGGGAAGAAAUAGUGUUUCCAGCCUGGGGUCAGAGGCUGGUGGUAGCCAGGAGAGGUGGUGGCAGGAACUGCCCCAAUUCCAGGCUAGAGAUGAACCAGCUGUGAUGGGGAUGGGGACUCUUCCGGAGCAGGAACAGUCAGGGCCUGGUCCUAUCCUGCCCGGGCAUGGACACGUCAGAGGCUUUAUCGUAAAUUGGGGAAAGCUUCAUGACACUACCUCCCACCCUGGCCUACUCCUGUUCUCACAUGGGGCUGUGAAAAUGACCAAUUUUUAAAAAUAUUAGAGAUGGAGUUGAUGGAAAUAUUCAAGCCAAAAGAAUGGUGACACCUCAACAGCUGACGUGCUGGGAGAAGGCUCCAGGGCCAGGGGCUCUCCUGGCCUCUGCGGAUGUCUGACUGGGCCACAGCCUACCUCCUACGCCCAGGUCUGGCCUCAACUUCUUGGUAACUAUAGCCAACCAGAAAUACCACCCAUAUUUUUCUCUGUGAUGGGGCUGCCUUGGGGAUGCCGAAGAGCAGUUUCUGAGCAGGGACACGACAUUUCUGUUGCUUUGUGGCUGACCUGGUCGGCACCUCAGGGUCUGAGAUACAGAUUCCAGUCACAAGCUGGUGGGCCAUUUAUACAAUCUGGUGGGGUAUAGCGCAGCAUUAUACACCAAGCCCCUAAACCUGGGUGAAGCAGAUCAUAUGUGAAAUGCACUGCAGAGGAACCCAGGUGAGUUUUUUUUAGAGGGCAGGCGGGAAGAAGGGGAGAGAGCAAAGACUGACUUGUGCAAAGACAGCUCUACAACAAGCCUCAAGGGAUAAAGCCUUCCAAGGACUAUGGGGAACAAGGUGAGGGGUGCAAAAUGCAGAUGCAGACACAGGAAAGAAGUGGAGGUUACAUUUUCCUCAAGAGAAAUGGAGACAGCUCUAGGGCUGGCAAAUUAAGUUAAGGAGGAGGAAUGUUCUAGGGAAGACAGCUUGGAGGAUAGGAGAAGCAUUGCUUUUAUGGGAGGUAGAAAUCAUAAGGUAUGGCAGUUUGAGGCUAUGCAAAUAUUCCCUGUGUGUUCUCCAAAUCCCAAAUGUCCUUUCUUCCUUUCAAGGCAUUGGAUCCCUGGGUCAUUCAUAGGAGCUGGUUUUCAGCGAGGUUCACCUUUACCAGGCAGCUCCAAAUAGUGAGGCCUAGAGGAAUCCCAUCCAAGCGGGAUUAAAAUUAUAGAAGUUUAAAACCUGAUUUUUUUCCAGUUAUCUGACCACAGAAGAGCUGCCAAUCUCUCUGGUCAUCUUGCCAACCCUGAAGAACCUCGGUCAAGUCUCCACCUGUUUUUCAGGCUUCAAAAGCUUUGGCAAGAGAACUACUCAGUGUGGCUGACAGGCCCUCCAGGGUCCUGUUCUGGCAUUCCCUAAGACUGUCUCUAGAGAAAUUGUUCAUAAACCGGGAGAUCUCCUCCCUUCUACCCCCAAAUACCCAUUGGAAGCUGGAAAGAAGGUUCUAGAAGAUUCCCAGUCACCAGCCCUGACUCCCAUGAAUUUACCUAACCUGUUCGCCUAAUCCCUCUGGCAGUGUGAGGCUUACAGAAGGGUGGAGGGGAAUUCUAUUCUCCUGGUACCACAGUAAACACUCAAAACUAUUUGAAACACCAGAACCUUGCACAAAAUUCUGACCUACUUCGAAUAACACCAAGUUCCACAUUUCCACUUUGAGAGUUUUCAGAGGAAGAACAGCAAAAUUAGGCAUAACAACCUAUCAAACAAACCACCAGCCAAAAACAAACCAAGACAAAAAACAGGCCAAACUAAAGCUUUAUGCUAUAAAAACAAGAAAUAAAA